AUUGAACGCUGGCGGCAUGCCUUACGCAUGCAAGUCGAACGGUAACAGGUUUUCGGAUGCUGACGAGUGGCGAACGGGUGAGUAAUACAUCGGAACGUGCCUAGUAGUGGGGGAUAACUACUCGAAAGAGUGGCUAAUACCGCAUGAGAUCUACGGAUGAAAGCAGGGGAUCGCAAGACCUUGUGCUACUAGAGCGGCCGAUGGCAGAUAAGGUAGUUGGUGGGAUAAAAGCUUACCAAGCCGACGAUCUGUAGCUGGUCUGAGAGGACGAUCAGCCCCACUGGGACUGAGACACGGCCAAGACUCCUACGGGAGGCAGCAGUGGGGAAUUUUGGACAAUGGGCGAAAGCCUGAUCCAGCAAUGCCGCGUGCAGGAUGAAGGCCUUCGGGUUGUAAACUGCUUUUGUACGGAACGAAAAGCCCCGGGUUAAUACCCUGGGGUCAUGACGGUACCGUAAGAAUAAGCACCGGCUAACUACGUGCCAGCCGCCGCCGUAA
Molecule: ribosomal RNA, 498 nt
Filed under: uncultured bacterium
Lineage: Bacteria
Description: partial 16S ribosomal RNA
Rfam family: Bacterial small subunit ribosomal RNA
Source: RNAcentral